UGAACGCUGGCGGCGUGCUUAACACAUGCAAGUCGAACGGGAUCCUUUGGAUUCGUCUAAAGGUGAGAGUGGCGAACGGGUGAGUAACACGUUGGUGACCUGCCCCAAAGAGGGGGAUAACUACUGGAAACGGUAGCUAAUACCCCAUGUGAUCCUUAGGUUUGAACACUCUAGGAUUAAAGCUCCGGCGCUUUGGGAGGGGCCUGCGGCCCAUCAGCUAGUUGGUAGGGUAACGGCCUACCAAGGCGAAGACGGGUAGGGGACGUGAGAGCGUGACCCCCCACACUGGCACUGAAACACGGGCCAGACUCCUACGGGAGGCAGCAGUGAGGAAUAUUGCCCAAUGGACGAAAGUCUGAGGCAGCAACGCCGCGUGGAUGAUGAAGGCCUUCGGGUUGUAAAAUCCUUUUCUGAAGGAAGAGAAAGGACGGUACUUCAGGAAUAAGCGUCGGCUAACUAC
This 460-nucleotide ribosomal RNA is filed under the name uncultured bacterium. RNAcentral's name for it is "bacterial SSU rRNA". It matches the Rfam family "Bacterial small subunit ribosomal RNA", at positions 30 to 504 of the family's 1533-position model. The record is from RNAcentral.